This 451-nucleotide ribosomal RNA is filed under the name uncultured bacterium. RNAcentral describes it as "bacterial SSU rRNA". It matches the Rfam family "Bacterial small subunit ribosomal RNA", at positions 340 to 786 of the family's 1533-position model. The record is from RNAcentral.
UACGGGAGGCAGCAGUGGGGAAUAUUGCACAAUGGGCGCAAGCCUGAUGCAGCCAUGCCGCGUGUAUGAAGAAGGCCUUCGGGUUGUAAAGUACUUUCAGUCGUGAGGAAGGUGUUAAGGUUAAUAACCUUAGCAAUUGACGUUAGCGACAGAAGAAGCACCGGCUAACUCCGUGCCAGCAGCCGCGGUAAUACGGAGGGUGCGAGCGUUAAUCGGAAUUACUGGGCGUAAAGGGCACGCAGGCGGUUAAUUAAGUUGGAUGUGAAUCCCCGGGCUUAACCUGGGAAUGGCAUUCAAGCUGGUUAGCUAGAGUCUUGUAGAGGGGGUAGAAUUCCAUGUGUAGCGGUGAAAUGCGUAGAGAUGUGGAGGAAUACCGGUGGCGAAGGCGGCCCCUGGGACAAAGACUGACGCUCAUGUGCGAAAGCGUGGGGAGCAAACAGGAUUAGAUACC